Molecule: long non-coding RNA, 578 nt
Organism: Oncorhynchus tshawytscha (Chinook salmon)
Lineage: Eukaryota; Metazoa; Chordata; Actinopteri; Salmoniformes; Salmonidae
Source: Ensembl
GAGGAAAGGAGAGGGAGGAGGGCUGGAGAGAAGAGAGAGAGGAAAGGAGAGGGAGGAGGGCUGGAGAGAGUAAAGGAGAGGGAGGAGGGCUGGAGAGAAGAGAGAGAGGAAAGGAGAGGGAGGAGGGCUGGAGAGAGUAAAGGAGAGGGAGGAGGGCUGGAGAGAAGAGAGAGAGGAAAGGAGAGGGAGGAGGGCUGGAGAGAAGAGAGAGGAGAGGAGAGGUAGGAGGGCUGGAGAGAAGAGGGAGGAGAGGAGAGGGAGGAGGGCUGGAGAGAAGAGAGAGAGGAAAGGAGAGGGAGGAGGGCUGGAGAGAGUAAAGGAGAGGGAGGAGGGCUGGAGAGAAGAGAGAGAGGAAAGGAGAGGGAGGAGGGCUGGAGAGAAGAGAGAGAGGAGAGGAGAGGGAGGAGGGCUGGAGAGAAGAGAGAGAGUGGAAAGGAGAGGGAGGAGGGCUGGAGAGAAGAGAGAGGAGAGGAGAGGGAGGAGGGCUGGAGAGAAGAGAGAGAGAGGAAAGGAGAGGGAGGAGGGCUGGAGAGAAGAGAGAGGAGAGGAGAGGGAGGAGGGCUGGAGAGAAGAGAGAG